Mauremys reevesii (Reeves's turtle) is the source of this 1156-nucleotide long non-coding RNA. RefSeq lists it as uncharacterized. The transcript is spliced from 8 exons. NCBI's taxonomy places the organism in Eukaryota, Metazoa, Chordata, Testudines, Geoemydidae. The record is from RefSeq and is a predicted model, not a curated record.
CCCCGCCCCCACACCUUAGGAAGGGAGCGGGAUACCCGUCCCCACCAGACUUCAGCAAGGACCGGCUUCGCUUCAACUGCUGCUGGCGACUAGCGUCCCCUUUGAUCUCUCACCUUCCGUAGCCCGGUCACUUCCUGCCUCUCCCAGCCAAUAGAAGCUCAAAGCGCGGGGCUUGCUGGGAAUUGGAGUCUUGUGAUGACCUAUGAGGUCUCAUGAGGAUCACAUUUUACAUCAUCAAGGAAGAGCCACCAGCAGACAGCAUGUUUAGAGAGGAGCCACCUGUUAGUGACUUCCCCAGAGCAAGGUGGCAGGGAUCCUAAAACAGAACAUCUCCUGGAUUUCUGUUCCUCUUGGAAGGUGGUAUCCCCCAACUAUCUCACCUGGCAAGCUGCCUCUGAUGUGUUGGCUGUGAUUAUGAAAUGGAGGAUUUGGGGAGGUACUGUACAAAAGAUGGAAAAACAAAGCAUAGAAAAUAAUUCAGCACACAUAGCCUUUCCCCACGGAACUGCUUAGGAAUAGCUAGCGAUGGACUGGAGCUGAAACACACUGGGGAAGCUUGGAUGCAGAUUCUCCAGUAUUAUAACUGUGUUGCAUUCAUCAGUUCCUGCAAUACCAAGACAGGCCAUACAGGAGGCAAAGAUCCAAUACUUCAGGCUUAUAUAGUAAUUAAUGAAAGCGUGCACAGCCAAGAGAAGAAAGGGCUGUGGUGGCAAUUGCAACAACUGUACUUCAGAUACAUUCAGAGCUAGAUAGUCCACAGGCUUAACAAAGCAGCAGCAGAAGCAGCAUGUUUGACAGCAGGCACAGAAGUGUGUGAUAUGUCCAUGCAAUCAGCCACCCAGGCCCAGCAGAAACGGCCUGACAUCUUCAAGGGGCUGUAAGGAAAAACAACCAGAAAGAGAAGAGAAAUUACUCAAGAUAAGUCACUUCUCUGCAGCCACUUGAAUGUUGUUAAGAAAAGACACAGGAAUACUCAAGAUCAAAAGAACUAUAGCAGUUUAAAAAGAGAUUUUUUCUCCAGACAGAGGGGCAGUUGUAUGGGGGAGUUAAUCGGAGGAAGCAGACUGAGAGGCAGGUACCCAUUGGGAUAUCUGAAGAAAUUAGGCCUACCUGCUUGCUAUCAGAGGCUGAUAUGCCUUUAGAUACAAUAGACACA